Molecule: long non-coding RNA, 1197 nt
Filed under: Accipiter nisus (Eurasian sparrowhawk)
Lineage: Eukaryota; Metazoa; Chordata; Aves; Accipitriformes; Accipitridae
Description: lncRNA (ENSANIG00000000075.1)
Source: RNAcentral
GCAAACGCCAUCUGCUCUGGGGGAUUUGUCACUGAUCAUUUAGCAGCGUGCUCAUUCUGCAAUUCCUCUAAUGAACAAUUCGAGGCAAAUCCUCUGCUGGGCAGCUUGAUACCGCAAAAUAACCUGAAGGAGAGGGGCAGCCCCUCCACUCAGAAUGAAAACCGUGCUCAGCUGUCUGCCAGGAGAGACCGACCCUCAGCACCUUCGCGAAGCAGAGCCAGGCAGGCACCGCAGGGCGCUGGGAGCGGGAUUCUCCAGCCACGAGAGGGGGCUCAGAGAAGGCGCAACGGAGCCAACCCAAACAUCUCAUCGGAAAAGGUUCACAGUUCGGCUUGGCUACAGCAGGUAGAGCUGGAAGGGAGCAGCCUGCGGGCCUACAGGCAUCGCCCUCCACCGCGGGCCGGUAGGCGGGGACCUGCCCGGAGGACGGAAACCCGCGGGGCCCGGCGGCUACGGCGACGGUGUCACUGCGUCCCCGCACAGCUCUGCUCCUCGCCUCGCAGCUCCCGGAGCUGGCGCCGCCUGAGCACCGCUCGCUUCGCCUGGGAACGGCCAGGCUCUGGAUUUAGCUCCGGGAGAGACUGGAAACCGCCUCUCUGGAAGCUCAGCAUCCUCCUGGCCGCCUCACUGGCAACUGCGUGGGCGGGAGGGCAGCUGGACCCGCCAGAUGCGGCCUGGUUUCCCUCACAGACGGGGCUCUUCUCCGUGCCAGCCACUUCUCCCCACCCUCCCCCGUCCCCCCAACAGCCGCCUCAUCCUCACAGGCCCCCGCACCGGCACCGCGGGCUGCCCCGGCGCUCCCCGGCUCGCAGACGGGGCCGCGGCCGGGCGGUGCCGGCUCCUCACGUCACACUCAGCAGCUCCCCCGUCCCCCCCGCUCCCCGGUCGGUGGGCGGGAUCCCAGACCGAGGCGGCGCGGCAGGGAGAGCGCUGCGAUGGAGGCCGAGCGGGAAGGCGGGCGGGGCCGCCCCACGCGCAGGGACCGCUGGGAGCUGUAGUCCGGGUCGCGCCCAGGUGCGGCGGCGCGCGGGGGCCGCCGGGAGCUGCGUCCGCCCCGCGGGCAGGUGCGGCGCUGCCCGCGGGAACUACAUGUCCCGGGAUGCCGCGGGGCGCGGGCGGCGCGGGCGCGGCGGCGGCGGCGGCGGCGGGGGCGUAGCGAAGAUGGCGGCGGGGGCGCUGCGCCCCGCUCCCGGCUGA